UACCAGCACCCCGAGUGGUCGGGACGAUUAUUGGGCCUAAAGCAUCCGUAGCCGGUUCUACAAGUCUUCCGUUAAAUCCACCUGCUUAACAGAUGGGCUGCGGAGGAUACUAUAGAGCUAGGAGGCGGGAGAGGCAAGCGGUACUUUAUGGGUAGGGGUAAAAUCCGUUGAUCCAUAGAAGACCACCAGUGGCGAAGGCGGCUUGCCAGAACGCGCUCGACGGUGAGGGAUGAAAGCUGGGGGAGCAAACCGG
This 253-nucleotide ribosomal RNA is filed under the name uncultured bacterium. Its description in RNAcentral is "partial 16S ribosomal RNA". It matches the Rfam family "Archaeal small subunit ribosomal RNA", at positions 474 to 727 of the family's 1478-position model. The record is from RNAcentral.